GCAAGUCGAACGGUAGAGGGGGCAACCCCUUGAGAGUGGCGAACGGGUGAGUAAUAUAUCGGAACGUGCCCAGUCGUGGGGGAUAACGUAGUGAAAAUUACGCUAAUACCGCAUACGAUCUAAGGAUGAAAGCGGGGGAUCGCAAGACCUCGCGCGAUUGGAGCGGCCGAUAUCAGAUUAGGUAGUUGGUGAGGUAAAGGCUCACCAAGCCAACGAUCUGUAGCUGGUCUGAGAGGACGACCAGCCACACUGGAACUGAGACACGGUCCAGACUCCUACGGGAGGCAGCAGUGGGGAAUUUUGGACAAUGGACGCAAGUCUGAUCCAGCCAUUCCGCGUGCAGGACGAAGGCCUUCGGGUUGUAAACUGCUUUUGUACAGAACGAAAAGGUCUCUAUUAAUACUAGGGGCUCAUGACGGUACUGUAAGAAUAAGCACCGGCUAACUACGUGCCAGCAGCCGCGGUAAUACGUAGGGUGCAAGCGUUAAUCGGAAUUACUGGGCGUAAAGCGUGCGCAGGCGGUUAUAUAAGACAGAUGUGAAAUCCCCGGGCUCAACCUGGGAACUGCAUUUGUGACUGUAUAGCUGGAGUGCGGCAGAGGGGGAUGGAAUUCCGCGUGUAGCAGUGAAAUGCGUAGAUAUGCGGAGGAACACCGAUGGCGAAGGCAAUCCCCUGGGCCUGCACUGACGCUCAUGCACGAAAGCGUGGGGAGCAAACAGGAUUAGAUACCCUGGUAGUCCACGCCCUAAACGAUGUCAACUGGUUGUUGGGUCUUCACUGACUCAGUAACGAAGCUAACGCGUGAAGUGACCGCCUGGAA
This 820-nucleotide ribosomal RNA is filed under the name uncultured bacterium. Its description in RNAcentral is "bacterial SSU rRNA". It matches the Rfam family "Bacterial small subunit ribosomal RNA", at positions 57 to 878 of the family's 1533-position model. The record is from RNAcentral.